CGCACAUUGCGCCCCUCGGUAUUCCGGGGGGCAUGCCUGUCCGAGCGUCAUUGCACCUCUCAAGCGUAGCUUGGUCAUGGGUCUAGUCUGCAAAGACCUGCCCGAAAACGAGCGGCGGUCCGGGGAGACCUCAAGCGCAGUCAAAUAUUUCGCUUCGAGUCCCUUCCUGCGGCCUGCCGGAAAUAUACAACCCAAUGAUUGACCUCGGAUCAGGUAGGGAUACCCGCUGAACUUAA
This 236-nucleotide unclassified non-coding RNA is filed under the name Lecanora sp. RNAcentral's name for it is "partial contains 5.8S ribosomal RNA, internal transcribed spacer 2, and large subunit ribosomal RNA". The record is from RNAcentral. Lineage: Eukaryota; Fungi; Ascomycota; Lecanoromycetes; Lecanorales; Lecanoraceae.